This 207-nucleotide ribosomal RNA is filed under the name uncultured bacterium. RNAcentral describes it as "partial 16S ribosomal RNA". It matches the Rfam family "Bacterial small subunit ribosomal RNA", at positions 568 to 774 of the family's 1533-position model. The record is from RNAcentral.
CUCGUAGGCGGUUCGGCAAGUCGGAUGUGAAAUCUCCACGCUCAACGUGGAGGGGCCAUUCGAAACUGCCGUGACUCGAGUCCGGUAGGGGAGUGUGGAAUUCCCGGUGUAGCGGUGAAAUGCGCAGAUAUCGGGAGGAACACCAGUAGCGAAGGCGGCACUCUGGGCCGGUACUGACGCUGAGGAGCGAAAGCGUGGGAGCGAACA